GACGAACGCUGGCGGCGUGCUUAACACAUGCAAGUCGAACGGAAAGGCCCUGCUCUUGUGGGGUGCUCGAGUGGCGAACGGGUGAGUAACACGCGAGUAACCUGCCCCUGACUUUGGGAUAACUUCAGGAAACAGGGGCUAAUACCGGAUAGGAGCUCCUGCUGCACGGUGGGGGUUGGAAAGAUUCGGCGGUUGGGGAUGGACUCGCGGCUUAUCAGCUUGUUGGUGGGGUAGUGGCUUACCAAGGCUUUGACGGGUAGCCGGCCUGAGAGGGUGACCGGCCACAUUGGGACUGAGAUACGGCCCAGACUCCUACGGGAGGCAGCAGUGGGGAAUAUUGCACAAUGGGCGGAAGCCUGAUGCAGCAACGCCGCGUGCGGGAUGACGGCCUUCGGGUUGUAAACCGCUUUCGCCUGUGACGAAGCGUGAGUGACGGUAAUGGGUAAAGAAGCACCGGCUAACUACGUG
This 468-nucleotide ribosomal RNA is filed under the name uncultured bacterium. Its description in RNAcentral is "partial 16S ribosomal RNA". It matches the Rfam family "Bacterial small subunit ribosomal RNA", at positions 28 to 507 of the family's 1533-position model. The record is from RNAcentral.